RNAcentral lists this ribosomal RNA (484 nucleotides) under uncultured bacterium. RNAcentral's name for it is "partial 16S ribosomal RNA". It matches the Rfam family "Bacterial small subunit ribosomal RNA", at positions 30 to 507 of the family's 1533-position model. The record is from RNAcentral.
AUUGAACGCUGGCGGCAGGCCUAACACAUGCAAGUCGAGCGGAUGAAGGGAGCUUGCUCCUGGAUUCAGCGGCGGACGGGUGAGUAAUGCCUAGGAAUCUGCCUGGUAGUGGGGGAUAACGUCCGGAAACGGGCGCUAAUACCGCAUACGUCCUGAGGGAGAAAGUGGGGGAUCUUCGGACCUCACGCUAUCAGAUGAGCCUAGGUCGGAUUAGCUAGUUGGUGGGGUAAAGGCCUACCAAGGCGACGAUCCGUAACUGGUCUGGGAGGAUGAUCAGUCACAACGGGAACGAGAACCGGGUCAGAAUUCUAAGGGAAGGAGGAGGGGGGAAUAUUGGACAAUGGGCGAAAGCCUGAUCCAGCCAUGCCGCGUGUGUGAAGAAGGUCUUCGGAUUGUAAAGCACUUUAAGUUGGGAGGAAGGGCAGUAAGUUAAUACCUUGCUGUUUUGACGUUACCAACAGAAUAAGCACCGGCUAACUUCGUG